UACAGAGGCCACAAGCGUUAAUCGGAAUCACUGGGCUUAAAGGGUGCGUAGGCGGUUCCGCAAGUGCUUUGUGAAAUCCCAUCGCUCAACGAUGGAAUGGCUCGGCCUACUGCGGGACUUGAGGUCGGUAGAGGUCGUCGGAACAGUAGGUGGAGCGGUGAAAUGCGUAGAUAUCUACUGGAACGCCAAAGGUGAAGACAGGCGACUGGGCCGAUUCUGACGCUGAGGCGCGAAAGCGUGGGGAGCUAACGGG
This 253-nucleotide ribosomal RNA is filed under the name uncultured bacterium. RNAcentral's name for it is "partial 16S ribosomal RNA". It matches the Rfam family "Bacterial small subunit ribosomal RNA", at positions 524 to 776 of the family's 1533-position model. The record is from RNAcentral.